RNAcentral lists this transfer RNA (72 nucleotides) under Bos taurus (domestic cattle). It matches the Rfam family "tRNA". Rfam says of the family: Transfer RNA (tRNA) molecules are approximately 80 nucleotides in length. Their secondary structure includes four short double-helical elements and three loops (D, anti-codon, and T loops). Further hydrogen bonds mediate the characteristic L-shaped molecular structure. tRNAs have two regions of fundamental functional importance: the anti-codon, which is responsible for specific mRNA codon recognition, and the 3' end, to which the tRNAs corresponding amino acid is attached (by aminoacyl-tRNA synthetases). tRNAs cope with the degeneracy of the genetic code in two manners: having more than one tRNA (with a specific anti-codon) for a particular amino acid; and 'wobble' base-pairing, i.e. permitting non-standard base-pairing at the 3rd anti-codon position. RNAcentral also lists the same sequence under 5 other names. Lineage: Eukaryota; Metazoa; Chordata; Mammalia; Artiodactyla; Bovidae. The record is from Rfam by way of RNAcentral.
UCCCUCAUAGCUCAGUUGGUAAAGAAUCUGCCUGCAAUGCAGGAGACUUGGGUUCGAUUCCUGGGAAGGGAA